AUUUGAAGCAACGGAAAGAACCUUUCCAGGUCUUGACAUCCUCUGAAAACCCUAGAGAUAGGGCUUGUCCUUCGGGAGCAGAGUGACAGGUGGUGCAUGGUUGUCGUCAGCUCGUGUCGUGAGAUGUUGGGUUAAGUCCCGCAACGAGCGCAACCCUUGAUCUUAGUKGCCAUCAUUAAGUUGGGCACUCUAAGGUGACUGCCGGUGACAAACCGGAGGAAGGUGGGGAUGACGUCAAAUCAUCAUGCCCCUUAUGACCUGGGCUACACACGUGCUACAAUGGACGGUACAAAGAGCUGCAAGACCGCGAGGUGGAGCUAAUCUCAAAAACCGUUCUCAGUUCGGAUUGUAGGCUGCAACUCGCCGACAAGAAGUUUGGCGGGUUUGUGACAGACAGCCGA
This 401-nucleotide ribosomal RNA is filed under the name Bacillus sp. (in: firmicutes). Its description in RNAcentral is "bacterial SSU rRNA". It matches the Rfam family "Bacterial small subunit ribosomal RNA", at positions 949 to 1329 of the family's 1533-position model. Lineage: Bacteria; Bacillati; Bacillota; Bacilli; Caryophanales; Bacillaceae. The record is from RNAcentral.